This 257-nucleotide ribosomal RNA is filed under the name uncultured Scutellospora. RNAcentral's name for it is "partial 18S ribosomal RNA". It matches the Rfam family "Eukaryotic small subunit ribosomal RNA", at positions 624 to 886 of the family's 1831-position model. The record is from RNAcentral. Lineage: Eukaryota; Fungi; Glomeromycota; Glomeromycetes; Diversisporales; Gigasporaceae.
AAGCUCGUAGUUGAAUUUCGGGGUUCUACCGUUGGUCGGGCUAACCAGUCUGUACUAGCGUGUAGAAUUCCUACCUUCUGGGGAACCAUCAUGUUAUUAAUUUAGCGUGGUGGGAAACCAGGACCUUUACCUUGAAAAAAUUAGAGUGUUCAAAGCAGGCUUACGUCUGAAUACAUUAGCAUGGAAUAAUAAAAUAGGACGGUGGUCCUGUUUUGUUGGUUCCUGAAUCACCGUAAUGAUUAAUAGGGAUAGUUGGG